Molecule: ribosomal RNA, 440 nt
Filed under: uncultured bacterium
Lineage: Bacteria
Description: partial 16S ribosomal RNA
Rfam family: Bacterial small subunit ribosomal RNA
Source: RNAcentral
CCUACGGGAGGCAGCAGUAGGGAAUCUUUCACAAUGGGCGAAAGCCUGAUGGAGCAACGCCGCGUGCAGGAUGAAGGCCUUCGGGUUGUAAACUGCUUUUAUAAGCGAGACAUAUGGUGGUAACUUAUGAAUAAGGAUCGGCUAACUACGUGCCAGCAGCCGCGGUCAUACGUAGGAUCCGAGCAUUAUCGGGGUGACUGGGUGUAAAGAGUUGCGUAGGUGGCAUAAUAAGUAGCUAGUGAAAUCUGGUGGCUCAACCGUAAAAUUGCAAUUGAUACUGGCAGUCUUGAGUACAGUUGAGGUAGGCGGAAUUCGUGGUGUAGCGGUGAAAUGCUUAGAUAUCACGAAGAACCCCGAUUGCGAAGGCAGCUUACUAAACUGUGACUGACAUUGAUGCUCGAAAGUGUGGGUAUCAAACAGGAUUAGAUACCCGGGUAGUC